CAGCACUGAGCAGAAAUAACACGGCUCCUGUUCAUUCUCCAUCAGUGAGGGGCCGGUGCUGGACACUGUGUAGGGACGCGGGAAUGCAAAGUCAUACACAUGACUGUGACUGAUGCACUAUCUCCAGGACAUGGAGUAGCAUUUCGGGACCUACAGCAAGACGUUGGAUGAAGGCACAGGCCUAGGAAUCAUGCACAUACACAGAAACAUUUGCCCAAAUUCUAGAGGUAACCUCCUUUAGUAUGCCCAGAGGAAGGGCCAUACAGUAGCCAUGGAUUCCCUACAGGUUUCCUCCCCUCUGGAGGUUUUUCCUGUCCUGAGUAUUAGUUACUGUACGCUCUUUGUGAGUGAUGGGAGGUUACAAAAAAUCCCCUACACAAACAUUUUAAUAAAUAAUAAAUAAAGUUCCCCUUUUUUUAAACUGUUC
Long non-coding RNA from Hyla sarda, 427 nucleotides. RefSeq lists it as uncharacterized. The record is from RefSeq and is a predicted model, not a curated record. Lineage: Eukaryota; Metazoa; Chordata; Amphibia; Anura; Hylidae. The transcript is spliced from 2 exons.